This 539-nucleotide ribosomal RNA is filed under the name uncultured bacterium. RNAcentral's name for it is "bacterial SSU rRNA". It matches the Rfam family "Bacterial small subunit ribosomal RNA", at positions 8 to 526 of the family's 1533-position model. The record is from RNAcentral.
AGAGUUUGAUCAUGGCUCAGAGCGAACGUUCGCGGCGGGCUUAACACAUGCAAGUCGAACGCGAAAGGGCUUCGGCCCCAGUAGCGUGGCGUCCGGGUGAGUAACACGUAGGGAAUCUACCCCGAAGCGGGGGAUAACGUUCCGAAAGGAACGCUAAUACCGCAUAAGACCACGAAGCUGCGGCUUUGAGGUAAAAGAUGGCCUCUAUACAUAAGCUAUCUCUUUGGGAUGACCCUGCGCCCCAUCAGCUAGUUGGUAGGGUAAUGGCCUACCAAGGCAUAGACGGGUAGCUGGUCUGAGAGGAUGAUCAGCCACACUGGCACUGAAACACGGGCCAGACUCCUACGGGAGGCAGCAGUGGGGAAUAUUGGUCAAUGGGCGCAAGCCUGAACCAGCCACGCCGCGUGAGUGAUGAAGGCCUUCGGGUUGUAAAGCUCUGUAUUGGAGGGAAGAAAACAACCAGUAAAAUAACGACUGGUUCUUGACGGUACCUCCUUAGAAAGCACCGGCUAACUCUGUGCCAGCAGCCGCGGUAAUUC